CGGGAAUAUUGGACAAUGGGCGCAAGCCUGAUCCAGCCAUGCCGCGUGCAGGAUGAAGGCCUUCGGGUUGUAAACUGCUUUUGUACGGAACGAAAAGACUCUGGUUAAUACCUGGGGUCCAUGACGGUACCGUAAGAAUAAGCACCGGCUAACUACGUGCCAGCAGCCGCGGUAAUACGUAGGGUGCGAGCGUUAAUCGGAAUUACUGGGCGUAAAGCGUGCGCAGGCGGUUAUGUAAGACAGAUGUGAAAUCCCCGGGCUCAACCUGGGAACUGCAUUUGUGACUGCAUAGCUAGAGUGCGGCAGAGGGGGAUGGAAUUCCGCGUGUAGCAGUGAAAUGCGUAGAUAUGCGGAGGAACACCGAUGGCGAAGGCAAUCCCCUGGGCCUGUACUGACGCUCAUGCACGAAAGCGUGGGGAGCAAAC
This 425-nucleotide ribosomal RNA is filed under the name uncultured bacterium. RNAcentral describes it as "bacterial SSU rRNA". It matches the Rfam family "Bacterial small subunit ribosomal RNA", at positions 356 to 773 of the family's 1533-position model. The record is from RNAcentral.